CAGAGAGGCAGAAGCUAGAGUAAAUCCUAGAUGAAGGCAGAGACAAUCCAUCAGCAUGAAAGGCCGAUGGAAGCAAACGCUAAAGGCUAAAGCCAACUCUGCACAUAUGACCAGUGUUCGUGUGACAGAGCAGGAGACCAAUAAGACUCUGCAGGAUGGCAUCUUUCAAUCCAAGGAGGAACAUUAGAAGGGUCUACAUUCUUUGAAGGCUGUGAACACCAAUGAAGGAGAGGAACUAUUUCUUGGGGGUACAUGAAGGCACAACUUGGUGCAAAGGGAUAAAGUUAUGCACUCUUCAUUUCCAUCAUGGUGAGCUGAGAAGACAUAGAAGAGGGCACUUGGAAGAGGGGAAAGCUGUAAAGUGAAGGAUGUGGUUCUGCACUGAUUCGCACUGAGGGAGCUUGCACUCUCUGGGCACUGGAGACUCGGUUCCAUUUUUGGUUCUGCCACAGAUUUCUCUGCAGCUUUGGGCAAGUCAUGU
Pelodiscus sinensis (Chinese soft-shelled turtle) is the source of this 481-nucleotide non-coding RNA. Lineage: Eukaryota; Metazoa; Chordata; Testudines; Trionychidae. The record is from RefSeq and is a predicted model, not a curated record.